Molecule: ribosomal RNA, 1228 nt
Filed under: Prosthenhystera obesa
Lineage: Eukaryota; Metazoa; Platyhelminthes; Trematoda; Plagiorchiida; Callodistomidae
Description: eukaryotic LSU rRNA
Rfam family: Eukaryotic large subunit ribosomal RNA
Source: RNAcentral
CGAGUGAACAGGGAUGAGCCCAACACCGAAGCCUUCGGUCAUUUGUCCGUUAGGCAAUGUGGUGUUCAGGUUGAUUCGUUGAGACACUGCUCCUCUCUAAGUCCAUCAAUGAGUACGGUUGUACUUACAUGGCCCCCGGAGGGUGAAAGGCCCGUAGGAGUGGAGUUCAGUCACGACAGUGUCUCUCUGAGUUGACCUUGGAGUCGGGUUGUUUGGGAAUGCAGCCCAAAGUGGGUGGUAAACUCCAUCCAAGGCUAAAUACAAGCACGAGUCCGAUAGCAAACAAGUACCGUGAGGGAAAGUUGAAAAGUACUUUGAAGAGAGAGUAAACAGUGCGUGAAACCGCUUAGAGGUAAACGGGUGGAGUUGAACUGCAAUCUCUGUGAAUUCAGCUGGUGAAAGUGAAUUGAGCUUGGUCAAAUUGGGCAGGGCCUCGGGGUAUGCUUAGCUGCAUGUCCUGAUCUUCGGGUCGGGAUGCGCGUUGCUCUUAUCAGGAGCUGUGCGCCUCGGGUGUCCGGCUGGCUCGUUCGCCAGUGCACUUUCUCAGAGUGAUCACCACGACCGGCGCUGCCGUUCGGCUGUCGGGGUUAAAUCGGUCAUUCAUCGUCCUUGUGGUGUUGUUUGGUCGACACGGCAGGUCACUGGGUGCUCGCUUCGGCGCGCAUUCCGGUAUAUGCUGGCCUGGACGGUUCUGUGCGGUGCGUCGGAGACGGCGGCUUUUGUGUAUACACGUGCUCUGUCUGCUGAUGUAUUCUGACUCGGUGGCUGUGUGCUUGUUCAAGCAGGCCCAGUUAUAGUCGGUGUAUGUCGGUGGGUGGUUGCGUGUGUGACACUUCAUUGGGCCCAUAGUCUGUGGUGUUGUGGUAGACUGUCCAUCCGACCCGUCUUGAAACACGGACCAAGGAGAGUAACAUGUGCGCGAGUCAUUGGGCGUAACGAAACCCAAAGGCGCAGUGAAAGUGAAGGUUUGGCUUGUCCAGACUAAGGUGAGAUCUUGUCGUUUCUCAUGCGUGGUACCACCAAGCUUAGAGCGGCAGGCGCAUCACCGGCCCGUCCCAUGACGUAGUCACUGUCUCCGGAUGGUGCGCCGUCGGGGCGGAGCAUGAGCGUACAUGUUGAGACCCGAAAGAUGGUGAACUAUGCUUGCGCAGGUUGAAGCCAGAGGAAACUCUGGUGGAGGACCGCAGCGAUUCUGACGUGCAAAUCGAUCGUCAAACGUGAGUAUAGG